CACGUAGGGGGCAAGCGUUGUCCGGAUUUAUUGGGCGUAAAGAGCUCGUAGGCGGCUCAGUAAGUCGGGUGUGAAACCUCCAGGCUCAACCUGGAGACGCCACCCGAUACUGCUGUGGCUUGAGUCCGGUAGGGGAGCGUGGAAUUCCUGGUGUAGCGGUGAAAUGCGCAGAUAUCAGGAAGAACACCCGUGGCGAAGGCGGCUCUCUGGGACGGUACUGACGCUGAGACGCGAAAGCGUGGGGAGCGAACAGG
RNAcentral lists this ribosomal RNA (254 nucleotides) under uncultured bacterium. Its description in RNAcentral is "partial 16S ribosomal RNA". It matches the Rfam family "Bacterial small subunit ribosomal RNA", at positions 524 to 776 of the family's 1533-position model. The record is from RNAcentral.